This 959-nucleotide ribosomal RNA is filed under the name uncultured bacterium. Its description in RNAcentral is "bacterial SSU rRNA". It matches the Rfam family "Bacterial small subunit ribosomal RNA", at positions 8 to 973 of the family's 1533-position model. The record is from RNAcentral.
AGAGUUUGAUCCUGGCUCAGGAUGAACGCUGGCGGCGUGCCUAACACAUGCAAGUCGAACGCGCUCCAUUCGGUAGCAAUACUGAUGAAGAGUGAGUGGCGAACGGGUGAGUAACACAUGAGCAACCUGCCCCGAAGACCGGGACAACACCGGGAAACCGGUGCUAAUACCGGAUAUCCCUAUCGGACCGCAUGAUCUGAUAAGGAAAUGGAUUCCGCUUCGGGAGGGGCUCGUGGCCUAUCAGCUAGUUGGUGGAGUAACGGCCCACCAAGGCAUCGACGGGUAGCUGGUCUGAGAGGACGAUCAGCCACACUGGGACUGAGACACGGCCCAGACUCCUACGGGAGGCAGCAGUGGGGAAUCUUGCGCAAUGGGCGAAAGCCUGACGCAGCAACGCCGCGUGGAGGACGAAGGCUUUCUGAGUUGUAAACUCCUUUCAGCAGGGACGAUAGUGACGGUACCUGCAGAAGAAGCACCGGCCAACUACGUGCCAGCAGCCGCGGUGAUACGUAGGGUGCAAGCGUUAUCCGGAUUUAUUGGGCGUAAAGAGCUCGUAGGCGGUUUGAUUAGUCGGGUGUGAAACCUCCAGGCUCAACCUGGAGCCGCCACUCGAUACUGUCAUGACUAGAAUUCGGUAGGGGACCACGGAAUUCCUGGUGUAGCGGUGAAAUGCGCAGAUAUCAGGAGGAACACCAGCAGCGAAGGCGGUGGUCUGGGCCGACAUUGACGCUGAGGAGCGAAAGCGUGGGGAGCGAACAGGAUUAGAUACCCUGGUAGUCCACGCCGUAAACGUUGGGCACUAGGUGUGGGGACUAUUCAACGGUUUCCGUGCCGCAGCUAACGCAUUAAGUGCCCCGCCUGGGGAGUACGGCCGCAAGGCUAAAACUCAAAGGAAUUGACGGGGACCCGCACAAGCGGCGGAGCAUGUGGCUUAAUUCGAGGCAACGCGAAGAACCUUA